UUUAACAUGUAUUUCUACAUAGUUCAUGCCUAUUUUGGUUUAAAAGUAGAAUUGGAUAUAUGAUGUUCACCAUAUACUACUGAAUAUCAUGCAAAACCCAUUUUUGGAUUGAGGUGUUGGUCGUUAGUCUUAUACUCUUUGAAUACUGUUUGAAAAUUCUUUUUAAGAAAACGUACAAUUGCCAAAUUACUCCACAUGUAUAAAAGUAAUUUAUUUAAAGGAUGGAAUUGGUCUUUUAGUAUUAUGUGUACUCAUGCCUUUUAGUGAUGGUUUGUACUUGUGAUUAGGUUAAUUGCGUGGAGUAUUUGGGACUGGGGCGUGACAAUAGAUGCCAAAUGGUAUUGUAUCUCAUUUUGGAGUUUGGUGUUGUGAACCCUUUUGUACAUACAAGUUUAAAAUAUAUAUGCAUAUAUGUUUAUAUGCACGUGGCAUGAGGUCAUUGAUUUUUUGGGUGCAAUACAUCUUAAUUCUAAGAAGAGGAGAUUUGACUCUAUAAGUGCAGGUAUUGGAUUGCUCUGCUCUCUCAGUGUAAGUACAUCUCUGCAUAUCUUUAUUUCCUCAAUUAUAUUUGACUUUGUUAUGUUGAGUUGCCAAAUUAAAGGUAUUGCACUACUUUUUCGAUACUACAUUAAAUCUGGAACAUGUGAAACAUUAAAUUUUGAGUGUUAAUCAUUGAACAGGGGCUGCAUUUUAAAUUUGUAAACAUCCACUGUAAUGGUUUGGGGCUUGAUAGUUGUACCAAAUCUCUUUUUCUUAUUCCCAUGUGCAUGUCCAUGUGUAGACCUUUUUGCAGCUUUCUAAGUUUAGGUUUUUCUUGAUGUGUGCUUAAGUGGUUUGGGAUUACUUUCCUUUGCAGGCCUGGGUAUUAUAUAAAAUUUUGCGCUUUCAGAUUAAGGUAAAGUUUGAUUAUAUCUUAUAGUUAAUUAUGAUGCCCAUCACAAGGUGAAUAAUUUUUUUCCAUUACACUUAUGUGUUCUAUCAAUUAAACUCCAGACCAACUACUAAUCUCCUAAGUUCUUUAAAUUUGGGUUUGUUAUAUGUUGUAGGAAAUGGCAUAUUUUUUCUUUACAUUUGAAAGAGUGAAAAUUAUAUUGUUGGGACUUUGGAUUCUAUUUUUAUGUCCUAAUUUGUGUGAGGAUUGCUUGCCAUCCAUAUAAGAAUGUUACUAAAGGGUGCGUUUGGUACGUGGGACGGGACGGGACAGAACGGGACGAGGCGUUCCGUCCCGCGUUUGGUGCGCCAAAAAUGGGUGGAACGGGCUGUUCCACGGGACAGAUUUUGGGUGUUUUUGCGUCCCACCUCCUCCCCUGGAACGGGUUUGUUCCACGUCUGUGGAACACAAUGUUUUACCAUUUUAAGACAAAUAUACCCCAUGUCUUUUUCAAAAAUUACACCUUCGUUCCGUCCCGUCCCGUCCCGUUCCGUCCCGUCCGCGUACCAAACGCACCCAAAGUGUUAGGCAAAAGUCUUUAUGUUUCAAUCACAAACAAGUGCAUGUAUACAUAGCAGAAUUACACCAAUUAAUCUGUGGGAGGAAGGAUAUAUAACAGCUCGUGAGAUAAAGAUAAUCAUAAUUUGAAAAUUCGGAAGCCACUACAUACUCAUUUCUUGUUGCUCUGUGUAAAUUUUGAAGGGUCCGACACUGGCACUCAAGCAGCAUUUUGGAAAGAAGAUUUUGGAACUAGAAGAUGAGAAAAGAACUGUGCAGGUUCACUUAAAACCUUAAUAUUUGAUGUUCUUAUGCUUGAGAGAACCGAUAUUCACUUAAAACCUUUAUAAUUUUAUUUUUAUUUUAGUUGGGGAUAGAACAUGUAAAAUUAUAGUUGUUUUUACAUAUAAUGGUUGUGAAUAUCCUUGUAAAUUGUAAUAUUAUAGAUGCUUGUGGUUGUGGACUGUUUUAAUUUUAUGAAAAAAUAAUUUUAAUUUUAUGAAAAAAAUAAUUUUUUGUUUAGCCUCAAUCUCAAUUUUUAGGUGAUUUUGGUUUUUAAUUUUUUUUUAAAUGGUUGACAUAUUGGGCACAAUAACAAUAAAUGUGCUAACAUGGGUGGCAGACAACUUUGUCAGAACUGGGCACAAAAGAACCUUUAUUUGUGCUUACACUUUUCAGCACAGCAUACCUAAUUGUGCUCUUUGAUC
RNAcentral lists this long non-coding RNA (2136 nucleotides) under Malus domestica (apple). RNAcentral describes it as "long non-coding RNA (MDOM_LNC013853)". The record is from RNAcentral. Lineage: Eukaryota; Viridiplantae; Streptophyta; Magnoliopsida; Rosales; Rosaceae.